RNAcentral lists this ribosomal RNA (361 nucleotides) under Stachybotrys theobromae. RNAcentral describes it as "SSU rRNA". It matches the Rfam family "Eukaryotic small subunit ribosomal RNA", at positions 1471 to 1831 of the family's 1831-position model. The record is from RNAcentral. Lineage: Eukaryota; Fungi; Ascomycota; Sordariomycetes; Hypocreales; Stachybotryaceae.
CCUUAGAUGUUCUGGGCUGCACGCGCGUUACACUGACGGAGCCAGCGAGUACUCCCUUGGCCGAAAGGUCCGGGUAAUCUUGUUAAACUCCGUCGUGCUGGGGAUAGAGCACUGCAAUUAUUGCUCUUCAACGAGGAAUCCCUAGUAAGCGCAAGUCAUCAGCUUGCGUUGAUUACGUCCCUGCCCUUUGUACACACCGCCCGUCGCUACUACCGAUUGAAUGGCUCAGUGAGGCGUUCGGACUGGCCCAGAGAGGUGGGCAACUACCACUCAGGGCCGGAAAGUUCUCCAAACUCGGUCAUUUAGAGGAAGUAAAAGUCGUAACAAGGUCUCCGUUGGUGAACCAGCGGAGGGAUCAUUA